RNAcentral lists this RNase P RNA (323 nucleotides) under chicken gut metagenome. RNAcentral describes it as "Bacterial RNase P class A". It matches the Rfam family "Bacterial RNase P class A". Rfam says of the family: Ribonuclease P (RNase P) is a ubiquitous endoribonuclease, found in archaea, bacteria and eukarya as well as chloroplasts and mitochondria. Its best characterised activity is the generation of mature 5'-ends of tRNAs by cleaving the 5'-leader elements of precursor-tRNAs. The record is from RNAcentral.
AGUAAGUCAGACGGCUGCGGGGCAAAAGCCCUGAGGAAAGUCCGGGCCCCAUAGGGCAGGAUACCGGCUAACGGCCGGCGGAGGCGACUCCAGGGACAGUGCAACAGAAAAUAAACGCCGCUUUUGGCGGUAAGUGUGGAAAUGUGAGGUAAGAGCUCACAGGGAAGAUGGUAACUGAAUUCCCGUGUAAACCCUAUCCGGAGCAACUUUGGGACAGUUAAGGCGGCCCGCCGUUGUCCCUCAAAAGGCUUGAGCCUGCCGGUAACGGCAGGACAUAGAUAGAUAGCCGUCCAAUACAGAACCCGGCUUACAGACUUGCUCUU